AAUUGACGGGGGCCCGCACAAGCGGCGGAGCAUGUGGAUUAAUUCGAUGCAACGCGAAGAACCUUACCUGGGCUUGACAUGGACUAGAAAGCUCUAGAGAUAGAGCCUCCCUUGUGGCUGGUUCACAGGUGGUGCAUGGCUGUCGUCAGCUCGUGUCGUGAGAUGUUGGGUUAAGUCCCGCAACGAGCGCAACCCUCGUUCCAUGUUGCCAGCACGUAAUGGUGGGGACUCAUGGGAGACUGCCGGGGUCAACUCGGAGGAAGGUGGGGAUGACGUCAAGUCAUCAUGCCCCUUAUGUCCAGGGCUUCACACAUGCUACAAUGGCCGGUACAAAGGGCUGCUAAGCCGUGAGGUGGAGCGAAUCCCAUAAAGCCGGUCUCAGUUCGGAUCGGGGUCUGCAACUCGACCCCGUGAAGUCGGAGUCGCUAGUAAUCGCAGAUCAGCAACGCUGCGGUGAAUACGUUCCCGGGCCUUGUACACACCGCCCGUCACGUCACGAAAGUCGGUAA
RNAcentral lists this ribosomal RNA (509 nucleotides) under Lentzea sp. RNAcentral describes it as "bacterial SSU rRNA". It matches the Rfam family "Bacterial small subunit ribosomal RNA", at positions 908 to 1417 of the family's 1533-position model. The record is from RNAcentral. Lineage: Bacteria; Bacillati; Actinomycetota; Actinomycetes; Pseudonocardiales; Pseudonocardiaceae.